UCCUCCCGAGUGCUUGCACUCAAUUGGAAAGAGGAGUGGCGGACGGGUGAGUAACACGUGGGUAACCUACCCAUCAGAGGGGGAUAACACUUGGAAACAGGUGCUAAUACCGCAUAACAGUUUAUGCCGCAUGGCAUAAGAGUGAAAGGCGCUUUCGGGUGUCGUUGAUGGAUGGACCCGCGGUGCAUUAGCUAGUUGGUGAGGUAACGGCUCACCAAGGCCACGAUGCAUAGCCGACCUGAGAGGGUGAUCGGCCACACUGGGACUGAGACACGGCCCAGACUCCUACGGGAGGCAGCAGUAGGGAAUCUUCGGCAAUGGACGAAAGUCUGACCGAGCAACGCCGCGUGAGUGAAGAAGGUUUUCGGAUCGUAAAACUCUGUUGUUAGAGAAGAACAAGGACGUUAGUAACUGAACGUCCCCUGACGGUAUCUAACCAGAAAGCCACGGCUAACUACGUGCCAGCAGCCGCGGUAAUACGUAGGUGGCAAGCGUUGUCCGGAUUUAUUGGGCGUAAAGCGAGCGCAGGCGGUUUCUUAAGUCUGAUGUGAAAGCCCCCGGCUCAACCGGGGAGGGUCAUUGGAAACUGGGAGACUUGAGUGCAGAAGAGGAGAGUGGAAUUCCAUGUGUAGCGGUGAAAUGCGUAGAUAUAUGGAGGAACACCAGUGGCGAA
This 673-nucleotide ribosomal RNA is filed under the name uncultured Bacilli bacterium. RNAcentral describes it as "bacterial SSU rRNA". It matches the Rfam family "Bacterial small subunit ribosomal RNA", at positions 68 to 719 of the family's 1533-position model. Lineage: Bacteria; Bacillati; Bacillota; Bacilli. The record is from RNAcentral.